Molecule: long non-coding RNA, 1388 nt
Organism: Mauremys reevesii (Reeves's turtle)
Lineage: Eukaryota; Metazoa; Chordata; Testudines; Geoemydidae
Exons: 3
Source: RefSeq, a predicted model, not a curated record
GAAAAGCUAGUUUUUAAAAAGUGGGGGUGUGGUGGGAGGACCAAUGACAUUAUUUUAAGUGGGGAUGUGUGAGGAUCAUGGAGAUUUAAAUCUGCUGUGCUAUUUGUCCUGAGUACAUGUGAACUAGGCAGUUUCAGGGCAAGCUGCACUGCCACCUAGUCCCACCCCACCAAUAGGACUCAGUCCUAACAUGAUUGGAGGGAAGACAAGGAAUAAUUUUGCCAGGAUAUGUGCAUGGAAGGGACAUUCUCUAUUAAUUUCUUCUCUCCAUGUACCAGCCUGAGAGAGGCAUUAGCUUCUUCCCACAGCACUGUCCUCCUCUGCCUGUACCCAUGAUGUGUGUUCUAUGGGGCCAGAGAUCCAUGUGGGGGUGGUGACAAGCUGCACUCCAUAAAGGAGCCCCCUAUAACAAACACUGUUUCAAUGGCUCAAUCUAGUUGUAGAACACAAAGUCUUGUUUCUGUUCUUAUUUGGGAUGGGCUGUUACUAGUAAUUCUGGGUAGUGCCUAUGCCCAUAGGACCUUAGGUGCAUUAUUCAUUCAAGAUAAUAUGUCUAAGGAAAAGAAGGAAGCAACUCUCAAACCAAGAACCACACCUGAAUGCACCAGUGACCACCGAUCCUUACCUGGAAAGAAAAGAAAUAAACAUCAGUACCAGAUGAAGUUUCUCUCUCCGUUGGUGUGGGACACAGAGCAGAGAAAGGAAGUAACUGAAGGUAAACCCCCUGUGGAAUAUCAAGUCUGACUAUACCAACUGCUAACAUGUGAUUGAUGGAUGGGCGAUCUGUUCUUGCAAACUGGGAUACCAGGUGGCAGCUGUUGAGAAUGGUGGGGACAUUUGUGUGGACACAGAAACUAUACGAGAUGGCAGUUACUGCAUCCUCAGGCCCUCCCAGAGGGAUAUGAAUGCCGAGAUAUGGAACACUAUCAGUUUGAUUGCAUCAGAAGAGCCCUUAUUGUGCCAAACUGAGUAAUUCAGAAUUACACUUUUUUUAGUCCUUUCUUGCUCUAUUCACUUUCCUUGAUAAAAGAAGUAAUAAGUCUAGAUGUGGAUAGUCUUGGAGAAAACUGCUUACUGUAUUGCUUUGAAAAGCUCCUGUCUCUGGAGAAUACACUAGAUUUCUGCCACAGCCUAUAAAACCUACAAGCCAUUAUACAUUUUAUUAGACACCUCUUCAUUUUAAGCUGAGAAAAGUAAAAAAUAAGGAGUCUGACUUAGCUUAUCAGAGAAAAGAGAUUGCAAUGUGUAUUUAGGUCAAUAGUAGGGUGGGUUGAUGGAACCUUCAUGUCCAUUACAAUACAAGCGUCUAUUUGCAUUCUUUCAGAUGCAGUUUUCCAUUGUUCCAAACUGGAUUCUGCAUAUUCACAGUAUGUUCUUGUAAAAUUACU